RNAcentral lists this ribosomal RNA (1829 nucleotides) under human gut metagenome. RNAcentral describes it as "bacterial LSU rRNA". It matches the Rfam family "Bacterial large subunit ribosomal RNA", at positions 545 to 2462 of the family's 2925-position model. The record is from RNAcentral.
AGAACCUGAAACCUUGUGCCUACAAGCACAUAGAGCACAUCAACGUGUGAUAUGGUACUUUUUGUAGAACGGUCCGGCGAGCGAUUGUAUGUUGCGAGCUUAAGGUCUUAAGGACUGGAGGCGUAGCGAGAGCGAGUCUGAACAGGGCGUUCAGUAACAUGCAAUGGGCCCGAAACCGGGUGACCUACCCAUGAUCAGGCUGAAGUGAAAGUAAAAUUUCAUGGAGGGCCGAACCGACCUCCUUUGAAAAGGCGGCGGAUGAAUUGUGGGUAGCGGAGAAAUUCCAAUCGAACUCGGAGAUAGCUGGUUCUCCCCGAAAUAGCUUUAGGGCUAGCCUCAUGUUAGAUAUCCGGAGGUAAAGCACUGAAUGGCCUAGCGUCCGAGAGGAUAGCGAAGCCUAUCAAACUAAGAAUGCCGGAAUAUUGAUGCAUGGGAGUCAGACAGUGUGAGAUAAAUCUCAUUGUCAAAAGGGAAACAGCCCAGAUCUACAGCUAAGGUCCCAAAUUGUAUCUAAGUGGAAAACGAUGUGGAAAUACGCAGACAACCAGGAUGUUGGCUCAGAAGCAGCCACUCAUUUAAAGAGUGCGUAAUAGCUCACUGGUCGAGCGUCUCUGCGCGGAAAAUUUAACGGGGCUAAGAUACAAACCGAAGCUUAGGCUGCACGAAAGUGCGGGGUAGGGGAGCGUUGUGUAAGCGGAGAAACAGUAGCGUAAGCGGCUGUGGAGUUUACAGAAGUGAGAAUGCCGGAAUGAGUAGCGCGAAUGUGGUGAGAAUCCACAUGGCCGGAAACCUCAGGUUUUUGGAGGAAGGUUCGUCCGCUCCAAGUUAGGCGGGAGCUAAGGUGAGGCCGAAAGGCGUAGCCGAUGCACAGACGGUAGAGAUUCCGUCCCCACCGAAAGAUUUAAGCACAGGGACACUUUUUGAAGGUCGGAGCCAGGUGUUGGUUCUGGUAGUGAUCGAGGGAAAUAUAGUACCGAAGUCCGGCUGGAAGAGAGGCGAGAAAAGCUGUGUGUAUAUCUAAGGUGCCCGUACCGCAAACCGACACAGGUAGGUAGGAAGAAGAUUCUAAGGCCAACGGGAGAAGGGUUGUUAAGGAACUCGGCAAGUUGACCCCGUAACUUCGGAAUAAGGGGUGCUCACGAGAGUGAGCCGCAGAGAAUAGGCCCAGGCAACUGUUUACCAAAAACACAGGUUUGUGCUAAAUCGAAAGAUGACGUAUACGAGCUGACGCCUGCCCGGUGCUGGAAGGUUAAGAGGAGAUGUGCAAGCAUUGAAUCGAAGCCCCAGUGAACGGCGGCCGUAACAAUAACGGUCCUAAGGUAGCGAAAUUCCUUGUCAGGUAAGUUCUGACCCGCAUGAAAGGCGUAAUGAUUUGGGCACUGUCUCAACAGCCCGCCCGGCGAAAUUGUAGUACCGGUGAAGAUGCCGGUUACCCGCGACAAGACGGAAAGACCCCAUGGAGCUUUACUGUAGCCUAAUAUUGGGUUUCGAUGUUGCAUGCACAGGAUAGAUGGGACACAGGGAAACAAUCGCUUUGGCGGUUGCGGAGUGGCCGUUGGGAUACCAUCCUUGCGAUAUUGGAAUUCUAACCUGCGGCUCUGAAUCGAGUCGGGGGACAUUGUUAGGUGGGCAGUUUGACUGGGGCGGUCGCCUCCUAAAAAGUAACGGAGGCGUUCAAAGGUUCGCUCAGCUUGAACGGAAAUCAAGCAAAAGAGUGCAAACGCAGAAGCGAGCCUAACUGCGAGACUGACGGGUCGAGCAGUAACGAAAGUUGGAGUUAGUGAUCCGGUGGUAUGUGAGUGGAAAUGCCAUCGCUCAACGGAUAAAAG